This 238-nucleotide unclassified non-coding RNA is filed under the name uncultured fungus. RNAcentral's name for it is "sequence contains ITS1". Lineage: Eukaryota; Fungi. The record is from RNAcentral.
UUUAGUUAUUUGUUUUGGUACUCGGACGUCACUGAUAAACCGGAUGUCAUGAUGGGCUACUGACGGGCGCUCGCCGGCCCAGGCGGAGGGCUUAGGGCCGGCGCGAAAGGGCUUUCGGGGCCCGCCAAAGCAACAAAGAUAUGUAAACACAGGGCGAAGAGUCGGGCGGCAGGGAAGCCACCAGGGGCGUGAGCCCCUUCACUCAUUAAUGAUCCUUCCGCAGGUUCACCUACGGAAA